AGGAUUCUGGACAAAUUUGAAUGGGAACAAAACACACUCCAUGCCAAUGGUGACAACAGACGGUAUCAGCCGAAUCACCAGCCCGAGCAACGAGGCGACGGCAUGUGUCGUCUGUGACCAUAAUGUUUCUUUGAAGCAUUCCAGCCCACCUCUGAGGGAAAACAGCAGCAGGAAAAGGCAGCUCUGCAGUCGAUAAGGACAGUGUGGGACGAAACAGCUGUCCCUUCCAUUUAAAUGCUAAAGCAAACAGCAACUUUGGAUUAUCUUGAAGGUAGAGGCAAAGGACUUCUGGAAAAUAUCCUAAU
Molecule: long non-coding RNA, 305 nt
Organism: Girardinichthys multiradiatus
Lineage: Eukaryota; Metazoa; Chordata; Actinopteri; Cyprinodontiformes; Goodeidae
Exons: 3
Source: RefSeq, a predicted model, not a curated record